RNAcentral lists this ribosomal RNA (1721 nucleotides) under Halomonas sp. A11-A. Its description in RNAcentral is "bacterial LSU rRNA". It matches the Rfam family "Bacterial large subunit ribosomal RNA", at positions 1225 to 2925 of the family's 2925-position model. Lineage: Bacteria; Pseudomonadati; Pseudomonadota; Gammaproteobacteria; Oceanospirillales; Halomonadaceae. The record is from RNAcentral.
GCGGUAGAGGAGCGUCGUGUAAGCCGAUGAAGGUGGAUGGAGACGUCUGCUGGAGGUAUCACGAGUGCGAAUGCUGACAUGAGUAACGACAAGGGGAGUGAAAAACUCCCCCGCCGGAAGACCAAGGGUUUCUGUUCGACGCUAAUCGGAGCAGAGUGAGUCGGCCCCUAAGGCGAGGCCGAAAGGCGUAGUCGAUGGGAAACGGGUCAAUAUUCCCGUACCUCACUGUAUUGCGAUGGGGGGACGAAGAAGGCUAGGUGAGCCAGGCGUUGGUUGUCCUGGUGAAAGCCAGUAGGCUGGGAUCUCAGGCAAAUCCGGGAUCCUAAGGCCGAGAGGCGAGACGAACUGACCACGGUCAGGAAGUCAUCGAUGCCACGCUUCCAGGAAAAGCCUCUAAGCUUCAGAUACAGUGGGACCGUACCCCAAACCGACACAGGUGGUCAGGUAGAGAAUACCAAGGCGCUUGAGAGAACUCGGGUGAAGGAACUAGGCAAAAUGGUGCCGUAACUUCGGGAGAAGGCACGCCGCGUUAGUGUGAAGGGACUUGCUCCCGGAGCACGAGGCGGUCGAAGAUACCAGGUGGCUGCAACUGUUUAUUAAAAACACAGCACUCUGCAAACGCGCAAGCGGACGUAUAGGGUGUGACGCCUGCCCGGUGCCGGAAGGUUAAGUGAUGGUGUUAGCGCAAGCGAAGCUCCUGAUCGAAGCCCCGGUAAACGGCGGCCGUAACUAUAACGGUCCUAAGGUAGCGAAAUUCCUUGUCGGGUAAGUUCCGACCUGCACGAAUGGCGUAAUGAUGGCCACGCUGUCUCCACCCGAGACUCAGUGAAAUUGAAAUCGCAGUGAAGAUGCUGUGUACCCGCGGCUAGACGGAAAGACCCCGUGAACCUUUACUAUAGCUUCACACUGGACGCUGAUGUUGCUUGUGUAGGAUAGCUGGGAGGCUUUGAAACCCGGACGCCAGUUCGGGUGGAGCCAACCUUGAAAUACCAGCCUGGCAUCAUUGGCGUUCUAACUCAGGUCCGUUAUCCGGAUCGAGGACCGUGUGUGGUGGGUAGUUUGACUGGGGCGGUCUCCUCCCAAAGCGUAACGGAGGAGCACGAAGGUACCCUCAGCACGGUUGGAAAUCGUGCAUUGAGUGCAAGAGCAUAAGGGUGCUUGACUGCGAGACAGACACGUCGAGCAGGUACGAAAGUAGGUUCUAGUGAUCCGGUGGUUCUGUAUGGAAGGGCCAUCGCUCAACGGAUAAAAGGUACUCCGGGGAUAACAGGCUGAUACCGCCCAAGAGUUCACAUCGACGGCGGUGUUUGGCACCUCGAUGUCGGCUCAUCACAUCCUGGGGCUGAAGUCGGUCCCAAGGGUAUGGCUGUUCGCCAUUUAAAGUGGUACGCGAGCUGGGUUUAGAACGUCGUGAGACAGUUCGGUCCCUAUCUGCCGUGGGCGUUGGAAGUUUGAGAAGAGCUGCUCCUAGUACGAGAGGACCGGAGUGGACGCACCUCUGGUGUUCCGGUUGUCACGCCAGUGGCAUUGCCGGGUAGCUAUGUGCGGACAGGAUAACCGCUGAAAGCAUCUAAGCGGGAAGCCCCCUUCAAGAUGAGACUUCCCUGAGGCCUUGAGCCUCCUGAAGGGCCCAGCGAGACCAGCUGGUUGAUAGGUCGGGUGUGGAAGCGCUGCAAGGCGUUGAGCUAACCGAUACUAAUGGCCCGUGAGGCUUGACCAUA